CUUCAGCACUGCAGGGAGAUGUAGCUGCUGGGCACCUAUCUACACUAGGGGUGUGCACGGAACCAGUUCUGUGCACACCCGGGAGAGAUCCAGAAACAAGGAAAGAAGCAGCCCAGCUGAUCUUCAACAGGGCAGCCACCACCAAGAAGGCCCUGUUUCUUGUACCUGUCAGAGUGAGGGAGAAGGGGGGAAAGCACCCAGAUGGUGAAGGAAUUGCUCGCCAACGGGAAGAGGGCCAGAGAGCCAUCUGAGUGAGGCGGUAGAAGAAGAAGAAGAAGAAGAAGAAGAAGAAGAAGAAGAAGAAGAAGAAGAAGAAGAAGAAGAAGAAGAAGAAGAAGAAAUUAUUAAAUCUAAUGUAGACUGGUGGGCACCGGUUCUUGCUGCUCUUUUUACUUUUAUAAACUCUACUGGCCAUAUAACUCAUGACUGGGGCACUGCAAUUGUUGUACCCAUUUUCAAGAAGGGGGAGAAGAAAGUUCCAUCUAAUAUCGCCCUAUAUCCUUGUUAAGUGUUGUGAGCAAGCUCUAUGCCAAGCACCUUCUGUGGAAACUGCAUGACUGGAUGGAAGAGCCUGGCAUACUGGGUGAUGAUGAUGAUGAUGACGACGAUGACGAUG
Hemicordylus capensis (graceful crag lizard) is the source of this 616-nucleotide long non-coding RNA. RefSeq lists it as uncharacterized. The record is from RefSeq and is a predicted model, not a curated record. NCBI's taxonomy places the organism in Eukaryota, Metazoa, Chordata, Lepidosauria, Squamata, Cordylidae. The transcript has 3 exons.